This 363-nucleotide long non-coding RNA is filed under the name Papio anubis (olive baboon). RNAcentral describes it as "lncRNA (ENSPANG00000048975.1)". The record is from RNAcentral. Lineage: Eukaryota; Metazoa; Chordata; Mammalia; Primates; Cercopithecidae.
AGCAAAGCUUGAGGGAGGAGAACACAGCUGAGUCAGAGCUUAUCCAUCAUUGGUUGCUGAGCCUCACUGAGAGUAUGUUGUCUGCUGAGAACAAGAUUUACCUGGAGACUGAAAAUUGAAUUGAUCAUGGGUGAGGCAAGUUAGUAAGGUUGUGUCAACUGAAGAAUGAUGAGGUUCAUCAAUUUGGAAAGGAGAGCUUUAUUUCUCAAAAAUGAUUGCAGCCUGCAAGGUGGCCAUUCUGACAGCCUAGGAAAGACUGGCUCGGACAGAGGGAGACCUUCAUCCAUCAGCCUUGGGAGAUAUUCCGGGUGCUUCUCAAACCCCUUCUAUGGAUGUGUAUUUUCUGAACGAAUGCAUGGGUAA